AUUGAACGCUGGCGGCAUGCUUUACACAUGCAAGUCGGACGGCAGCACAGAGAAGCUUGCUUCUUGGGUGGCGAGUGGCGAACGGGUGAGUAACAUAUCGGAACGUACCGAGUAAUGGGGGAUAACUAAUCGAAAGAUUAGCUAAUACCGCAUAUUCUCUGAGGAGGAAAGCAGGGGACCUUCGGGCCUUGCGUUAUUCGAGCGGCCGAUAUCUGAUUAGCUAGUUGGUGGGGUAAAGGCCUACCAAGGCGACGAUCAGUAGCGGGUCUGAGAGGAUGAUCCGCCACACUGGGACUGAGACACGGCCCAGACUCCUACGGGAGGCAGCAGUGGGGAAUUUUGGACAAUGGGCGCAAGCCUGAUCCAGCCAUGCCGCGUGUCUGAAGAAGGCCUUCGGGUUGUAAAGGACUUUUGUCAGGGAAGAAAAGGCUGUUGCUAAUAUCGACAGCUGAUGACGGUACCUGAAGAAUAAGCACCGGCUAACUACGUGCCAGCAGCCGCGGUAAUACGUAGGGUGCGAGCGUUAAUCGGAAUUACUGGGCGUAAAGCGAGCGCAGACGGUUACUUAAGCAGGAUGUGAAAUCCCCGGGCUCAACCUGGGAACUGCGUUCUGAACUGGGUGACUAGAGUGUGUCAGAGGGAGGUAGAAUUCCACGUGUAGCAGUGGAAUGCGUAGAGACGUGGAGGAAUACCGAUGGCGAAGGCAGCCUCCUGGGAUAACACUGACGUUCAUGCUCGAAAGCGUGGGUAGCAAACAGG
Molecule: ribosomal RNA, 759 nt
Filed under: Neisseria subflava
Lineage: Bacteria; Pseudomonadati; Pseudomonadota; Betaproteobacteria; Neisseriales; Neisseriaceae
Description: bacterial SSU rRNA
Rfam family: Bacterial small subunit ribosomal RNA
Source: RNAcentral